Molecule: ribosomal RNA, 497 nt
Filed under: uncultured bacterium
Lineage: Bacteria
Description: partial 16S ribosomal RNA
Rfam family: Bacterial small subunit ribosomal RNA
Source: RNAcentral
GAUGAACGCUGGCGGCGUGCCUAAUACAUGCAAGUCGAGCGAACAGACGAGGAGCUUGCUCCUCUGACGUUAGCGGCGGACGGGUGAGUAACACGUGGAUAACCUACCUAUAAGACUGGGAUAACUUCGGGAAACCGGAGCUAAUACCGGAUAAUAUAUUGAACCGCAUGGUUCAAUAGUGAAAGACGGUUUUGCUGUCACUUAUAGAUGGAUCCGCGCCGCAUUAGCUAGUUGGUAAGGUAACGGCUUACCAAGGCAACGAUGCGUAGCCGACCUGAGAGGAUGAUCGGCAACACUGGAACUAAGACACGGUCCAGAAUCCUACGGGAGGCAGCAGUAGGGAAUCUUCCGCAAUGGGCGAAAGCAUGACAGAGCAACGCCGCGUGAGUGAUGAAGGUCUUCGGAUCGUAAAACUCUGUUAGUAGGGAAGAACAAAUAUGUAAGUAACUAUGCACGUCUUGACGGUACCUAAUCAGAAAGCCACGGCUAACUACGUG